RNAcentral lists this long non-coding RNA (1024 nucleotides) under Marmota monax (woodchuck). The stretch from base 16 to 84 matches the Rfam family "tRNA". Lineage: Eukaryota; Metazoa; Chordata; Mammalia; Rodentia; Sciuridae. The record is from RNAcentral.
GUGGAAAGAGGGUCUGGGGCUGUAGCUCAGUGGCAGAGCACUUGCCUAGCAUGUGUGAGGCACUGAGUUCGAUCCUCAGCACCACAUUAAAAAAAAAUAAAGGCAUGCUGUCCAUCUACAACAACAACAACAACAACAAAAAAAAAAACCCUGAAAUUAAAAAGAAGAAAUGUGGAAAGAGAAACAAUUUUUUAAAAAAUGAUUAAAGUAUAACAUGGAUAAUUUCUGAAUUAGUAGAUAUGCCUAUACGAGGGAUUAGCAAUCACUUUUCUUUCUUUUUUUUUCUUUUUUUUUUUUUUUUAGGAAAACACCAACAAGCUCUUAAAGCCAGGUAUAUUGGGGCUGGGGAUGUGGCUCAAACGGUAGCGCACUCGCCUGGCAUGCGUGCGGCCCCGGUUUGAUCCUCAGGACCACAUACAAACAAAGAUGUUGUGUCUGCCGAAAACUAAAAAUUAAAUAUUAAAAAUUCUCUCUCUCGGGCUGGGGAUGUGGCUCAAGCGGUAGCGCGCUCGCCUGGCAUGCGUGCGGCCCUGGUUUGAUCCUCAGGACCACAUACAAACAAAGAUGUUGUGUCUGCCAAGAACUAAAAUAAUAAAUAUUAAAAAAAAUUCUCUCUCUCUCUCUCCCCCCCCACUCUCUCUCUUAAAAAAAAAAAAAAGCCAGGUAUUGUAGAGUGUGCCUAUAAUUUCAGCAAUUUAGGAGACUGAGGAAUGAGUUUUGAAAAUUUGAUUCCAGGUCAGACUCAGAAACUUGGGGAGAAAACUGUCUCAAAAAAAGGGGAAUUGGGGAAUGUAGCUCACCAGUAGCAGACUUCUGGAUUCAAUCCCUUUUCUUGAAAACAAACAAAAACAACUCUUACAAGGCAGCAACAUGAAGACACACACCAAAAUGAAAAAUGAGGAAAGGAAGGGAAAAUACAGAUGCACACGAAAAGAAUUGGGGCUGGGGAUAUAACAGCCGUGGAGCACUUCCCGAGCAUGUGCGAGACUGGAUUCAGUCCCCAGCCCUGGAGGAAAGAAAGAAG